CGGGGUGUAGCGCAGUUGGGAGCGCGCCGCGUUUGGGACGCGGAGGUCGACGGUUCAAGUCCGUCCACCCCGA
RNAcentral lists this transfer RNA (73 nucleotides) under Chloroflexota bacterium. RNAcentral's name for it is "tRNA-Pro". It matches the Rfam family "tRNA". From Rfam's summary of the family: Transfer RNA (tRNA) molecules are approximately 80 nucleotides in length. The record is from RNAcentral. RNAcentral also lists the same sequence under 2 other names. Lineage: Bacteria; Bacillati; Chloroflexota.